RNAcentral lists this ribosomal RNA (315 nucleotides) under Microdevario kubotai. RNAcentral's name for it is "partial 12S ribosomal RNA". It matches the Rfam family "Bacterial small subunit ribosomal RNA", at positions 868 to 1348 of the family's 1533-position model. Lineage: Eukaryota; Metazoa; Chordata; Actinopteri; Cypriniformes; Danionidae. The record is from RNAcentral.
UCCGCCCGGAUAUUACAAGCACUAGCUUUAAACCCAAAGGACCUGACGGUGCCUUAGAUCCCCCUAGAGGAGCCUGUUCUAGAACCGAUUACCCCCGUUAAACCUCACCACUUCUGGCAAUAGCAGCCUAUAUACCACCGUCGCCAGUUUACCCUGUGAAGGCACAAAAGUAAGCAAAAUGGGUAACCCCCAGUACGUCAGGUCGAGGUGUAGCACACGAAGUGGGAAGAAAUGGGCUACAUUUUCUAAUAUAGAAUAAACGAAUACGCAAUAUGAAAAUUAAUGCUUGAAGGAGGAUUUAGUAGUAAAAGGGAA